AAAAAGGAGGAAUUUAUAUUCCCCCCCAAAAAUUUUUUUUUUAGGAGGGAUAUUUUUUUAAAUUUCUUAAAAAUUUCCGGGGGGUUAAAAGAAGGGGCCUGGCGGGGACAUUUAUUUUUUUGGGGGAGGUAAAAGGUUUCCCCAGGUUUUGGAUUUUUGGGGGUUUGGGGAGGAGAUUCCCCCCCAUUGUACUGAGACACGGACCAGACUCUUACGGGAGCNAGCAGUAAGGAUUAUUGGCAAUUGGCGAAAGCCUGACCCAGCCAUGCCGCGUGCAGGAUGACAGCUCUAGUAGUGUNAAACUGCUUUUAUACGGGAAGAAAAGCACCUACGUGUAGGUGUCUGACGGUACCGUAGAUAAAAGGACCGGCUAACUCGNUGCCAGCAGCGCGGNUAAUACGGAGGGUCCAAGCGUUAUCCGGAUUCAUUGGGUUUAAAGGGUGUGUAGGCGGAAAGGUCAGUCAGUGGUGAAAUCCUGCAGCUUAACUGUAGAACUGCCAUUGAUACUUCCUUUCUUGAGUCUAGAUGAAGUGAGCGGAAUGUGUCAUGUAGCGGUGAAAUGCAUAGAUAUGACACAGAACACCGAUUGCGAAGGCAGCUCGCUAAGCUAGUACUGACGCUGAGGCACGAAAGCGUGGGUAGCGAACAGGAUUAGAUACCCUGGUAGUCCACGCCGUAAACGAUGAUUACUCGAUGUUGGCGAUAUAAUGUCAGCGUCCAAGCGAAAGUGUUAAGUAAUCCACCUGGGGAGUACGGUCGCAAGAUUGAAACUCAAAGGAAUUGACGGGGGCCCGCACAAGCGGAGGAACAUGUGGUUUAAUUCGAUGAUACGCGAGGAACCUUACCUGGGCUUAAAUGUAAGAUGACAGGCUGGGAAACCAGCUCUCCUUCGGGCAACUUACAAGGUGCUGCAUGGCUGUCGUCAGCUCGUGCCGUGAGGUGUCGGGUUAAGUCCCAUAACGAGCGCAACCCCUAUCCUUAGUUGCCAGCGGAUAAUGCCGGGGACUCUAAGGAAACUGCCCGCGCAAGCGGUGAGGAAGGUGGGGAUGACGUCAAGUCAGCACGGCCCUUACGUCCAGGGCCACACACGUGUUACAAUGGCCGGUACAGAGGGCAGCUACCUGGUGACAGGAUGCGAAUCUCUAAAGCCGGUCUCAGUUCGGAUCGAAGUCUGCGACUCGACUUCGUGAAGUUGGAUUCGCUAGUAAUCGCGCAUCAGCCUCGCGUCUGUAUCGCCGCG
RNAcentral lists this ribosomal RNA (1240 nucleotides) under uncultured bacterium. Its description in RNAcentral is "partial 16S ribosomal RNA". It matches the Rfam family "Bacterial small subunit ribosomal RNA", at positions 100 to 1361 of the family's 1533-position model. The record is from RNAcentral.